AAAGCGUGCGCAGGCGGUUCUAUAAGACAGAUGUGAAAUCCCCGGGCUCAACCUGGGAACUGCAUUUGUGACUGUAGAGCUGGAGUGCGGCAGAGGGGGAUGGAAUUCCGCGUGUAGCAGUGAAAUGCGUAGAUAUGCGGAGGAACACCGAUGGCGAAGGCAAUCCCCUGGGCCUGCACUGACGCUCAUGCACGAAAGCGUGGGGAGCAAACAGGAUUAGAUACCCGAGU
Molecule: ribosomal RNA, 230 nt
Filed under: uncultured bacterium
Lineage: Bacteria
Description: partial 16S ribosomal RNA
Rfam family: Bacterial small subunit ribosomal RNA
Source: RNAcentral